AGAGGGAUCUUGACGGCGAGAAGGAGAGGGUUUGACUAGAGAUGAAGCUUGGGUUAAGAGAUAUGGGUUUUUUUUUACGGGAAACUGAAGAUUGAAAGCUCUGAGAGCUAGGUGGGGGAAUUAAGUGAAUGGGAAAGAAAACCCAGAAGUGGGAUUUUUGUGGGGAUGCAAGGAUUGAAAGAAAGUAAAAUAUUUUCCGGAAAAAUGAAGAAAGUAAAAUAUUUUGUAUUAUUUUAUAAAUAAAAAAAUACUAUUAUUUUAUUGUCUAUUGCCAGGGUUAUUUAAGUG
RNAcentral lists this long non-coding RNA (288 nucleotides) under Malus domestica (apple). RNAcentral's name for it is "long non-coding RNA (MDOM_LNC010169)". The record is from RNAcentral. Lineage: Eukaryota; Viridiplantae; Streptophyta; Magnoliopsida; Rosales; Rosaceae.